Molecule: unclassified non-coding RNA, 201 nt
Filed under: fungal sp.
Lineage: Eukaryota; Fungi
Also listed under: 1 other name
Description: partial internal transcribed spacer region
Rfam family: Eukaryotic small subunit ribosomal RNA (bases 1-46)
Source: RNAcentral
AAGUCGUAACAAGGUUUCCGUAGGUGAACCUGCGGAAGGAUCAUCAACAGAGGGGAAGAAUAAUUUUUCCCCGAAAUCCUGUAUUCACCCCAAGUUCCUUUCAAAAUUUUAAUAUACGAUAAACUUGCAAAAAAGACCACCUUCGUCUGGUGGCGCUUAAUGCAUACGCGAAAACUUUCAACAACGGAUCUCUUGGCUCUC